This 264-nucleotide ribosomal RNA is filed under the name uncultured archaeon. Its description in RNAcentral is "partial 16S ribosomal RNA". It matches the Rfam family "Archaeal small subunit ribosomal RNA", at positions 717 to 982 of the family's 1478-position model. The record is from RNAcentral.
ACACGACUACAUUAGAUACCCCUGUAGUCCUAGCCGUAAACGAUACUCGCUAGGUGUCGGCCACGGUGCGACCGUUGUCGGUGCCGUAGGGAAGCCGUGAAGCGAGCCACCUGGGAAGUACGGCCGCAAGGCUGAAACUUAAAGGAAUUGGCGGGGAGCACCACAACGGGUGGAGCUUGCGGUUUAAUUGGAUUCAACGCCGGAAAUCUUACCGGGACCGACAGCAACAUGAAGGCCAGGCUGAAGACUUUGCCGGAUUAGCUG